Molecule: microRNA, 23 nt
Filed under: Gallus gallus (chicken)
Lineage: Eukaryota; Metazoa; Chordata; Aves; Galliformes; Phasianidae
Description: gga-miR-6640-5p
Source: miRBase by way of RNAcentral
UCUGGAAUUGUAGUAGAGUGUAU